GUCGAACGGUAACAGGAAGCAGCUUGCUGCUUUGCUGACGAGUGGCGGACGGGUGAGUAAUGUCUGGGAAACUGCCUGAUGGAGGGGGAUAACUACUGGAAACGGUGGCUAAUACCGCAUAACGUCGCAAGACCAAAGAGGGGGACCUUCGGGCCUCUUGCCAUCAGAUGUGCCCAGAUGGGAUUAGCUUGUUGGUGAGGUAACGGCUCACCAAGGCGACGAUCCCUAGCUGGUCUGAGAGGAUGACCAGCCACACUGGAACUGAGACACGGUCCAGACUCCUACGGGAGGCAGCAGUGGGGAAUAUUGCACAAUGGGCGCAAGCCUGAUGCAGCCAUGCCGCGUGUAUGAAGAAGGCCUUCGGGUUGUAAAGUACUUUCAGCGGGGAGG
This 390-nucleotide ribosomal RNA is filed under the name Salmonella enterica subsp. enterica serovar Derby. RNAcentral's name for it is "bacterial SSU rRNA". It matches the Rfam family "Bacterial small subunit ribosomal RNA", at positions 61 to 447 of the family's 1533-position model. Lineage: Bacteria; Pseudomonadati; Pseudomonadota; Gammaproteobacteria; Enterobacterales; Enterobacteriaceae. The record is from RNAcentral. RNAcentral also lists the same sequence under 2 other names.